Molecule: long non-coding RNA, 199 nt
Organism: Prionailurus viverrinus (fishing cat)
Lineage: Eukaryota; Metazoa; Chordata; Mammalia; Carnivora; Felidae
Exons: 3
Source: RefSeq, a predicted model, not a curated record
UCAGAUGUGUAUCAAGAGACAGUGCAUCCUAGAAAAGAGGAGGGGCAGGACAGGUUCCACCUGCUUUCAUGAGUUUCAUCAAGUACUAGACCUACUCAAGGGUGGAGAGAAAGGCAACUUUCAAAAAGGAGUGUGUUAUUAAAUGAGGCAUUUACUAUCCUCCUUCCUAAGAGCACCAGGUGGGGGACAAGUGUUCUAA